AUUGAACGCUGGCGGCAGGCCUAACACAUGCAAGUCGAGCGGAUGAAGGGAGCUUGCUCCUGGAUUCAGCGGCGGACGGGUGAGUAAUGCCUAGGAAUCUGCCUGGUAGUGGGGGAUAACGUCCGGAAACGGGCGCUAAUACCGCAUACGUCCUGAGGGAGAAAGUGGGGGAUCUUCGGACCUCACGCUAUCAGAUGAGCCUAGGUCGGAUUAGCUAGUUGGUGGGGUAAAGGCCUACCAAGGCGACGAUCCGUAACUGGUCUGAGAGGAUGAUCAGUCACACUGGAACAGAGACACGGUCCACAGUCCUACGGGAGGCAGCAGUGGGGAAUAUUGGGCAAUGGGCGAAAGCCUGAUCUAGCAACGCGGCGUGUGUGAAGAAGGUCUUCGGAUUGUAAAGCACUUUAAGUUGGGAGGAAGGGCAGUAAGUUAAUACCUUGCUGUUUUGACGUUACCAACAGAAUAAGCACCGGCUAACUUCGUG
This 484-nucleotide ribosomal RNA is filed under the name uncultured bacterium. Its description in RNAcentral is "partial 16S ribosomal RNA". It matches the Rfam family "Bacterial small subunit ribosomal RNA", at positions 30 to 507 of the family's 1533-position model. The record is from RNAcentral.